UCUUAAAUGCAGAUUUCCUGCUAAAAGGC
RNAcentral lists this non-coding RNA (29 nucleotides) under Rattus norvegicus (Norway rat). Lineage: Eukaryota; Metazoa; Chordata; Mammalia; Rodentia; Muridae. The record is from RNAcentral.